AUUGAACGCUGGCGGCAGGCCUAACACAUGCAAGUCGAACGGUAACAGGAAGCAGCUUGCUGCUUUGCUGACGAGUGGCGGACGGGUGAGUAAUGUCUGGGAAACUGCCUGAUGGAGGGGGAUAACUACUGGAAACGGUAGCUAAUACCGCAUAACGUCGCAAGACCAAAGAGGGGGACCUUCGGGCCUCUUGCCAUCGGAUGUGCCCAGAUGGGAUUAGCUAGUAGGUGGGGUAACGGCUCACCUAGGCGACGAUCCCUAGCUGGUCUGAGAGGAUGACCAGCCACACUGGAACUGAGACACGGUCCAGACUCCUACGGGAUGCAGCAGUGGGGAAUAUUGCACAAUGGGCGCAAGCCUGAUGCAGCCAUGCCGCGUGUAUGAAGAAGGCCUUCGGGUUGUAAAGUACUUUCAGCGGGGAGGAAGGGAGUAAAGUUAAUACCUUUGCUCAUUGACGUUACCCGCAGAAGAAGCACCGGCUAACUCCGUG
This 490-nucleotide ribosomal RNA is filed under the name uncultured bacterium. Its description in RNAcentral is "partial 16S ribosomal RNA". It matches the Rfam family "Bacterial small subunit ribosomal RNA", at positions 30 to 507 of the family's 1533-position model. The record is from RNAcentral.